UGCUAAUUGGCAUCGCAGCGUAAAAGAAAGAGAAGGGCACGGCGCCGCGGCGCCAGUGCAGGGCAUUACCCAGAAAUGAGAUUAUAACUGCUCAAUUUCUCGGGGGAUGUGCAAGAAAGAAAUAUGAAUAUGUAAUUCAACUAAUGUAACACUUAAUUAAGUGUAUUAAAUCUUUGAUGAAAGUUGAACGAAAAGAUUAAACGAGAAUUAAAGAUACAAAAUGUAGACGUGGGUUACAGAACAAAUAUUCGGGGACCGUAGUCGCAAUAAACGAACGUGAGGAGUUGCUAUGAUUAUGAUUCCAUAGACGUUGAGUGACAAGGGUAAUGAAUAAUAUUUCGAUGUUAUGUCAUGGUAAUGAGAGAUGAAUGUAAAGUGUUUAGACGAACGUGAGGGGUUGCUAUG
Molecule: long non-coding RNA, 405 nt
Filed under: Panax ginseng (ginseng)
Lineage: Eukaryota; Viridiplantae; Streptophyta; Magnoliopsida; Apiales; Araliaceae
Description: long non-coding RNA (PGIN_LNC000159)
Source: RNAcentral